Molecule: ribosomal RNA, 791 nt
Filed under: uncultured bacterium
Lineage: Bacteria
Description: bacterial SSU rRNA
Rfam family: Bacterial small subunit ribosomal RNA
Source: RNAcentral
AGAGUUUGAUCAUGGCUCAGAUUGAACGCUGGCGGCAUGCCUUACACAUGCAAGUCGAACGGUAACAGGUCUUCGGAUGCUGACGAGUGGCGAACGGGUGAGUAAUACAUCGGAACGUGCCCGAGAGUGGGGGAUAACGAGGCGAAAGCUUUGCUAAUACCGCAUACGAUCUCAGGAUGAAAGCAGGGGACCGCAAGGCCUUGCGCUCACGGAGCGGCCGAUGUCAGAUUAGGUAGUUGGUGGGGUAAAGGCUCACCAAGCCGACGAUCUGUAGCUGGUCUGAGAGGACGACCAGCCACACUGGGACUGAGACACGGCCCAGACUCCUACGGGAGGCAGCAGUGGGGAAUUUUGGACAAUGGGCGCAAGCCUGAUCCAGCAAUGCCGCGUGCAGGAAGAAGGCCUUCGGGUUGUAAACUGCUUUUGUACGGAGCGAAAAGGCUUCCACUAAUACUGGGGGCUCAUGACGGUACCGUAAGAAUAAGCACCGGCUAACUACGUGCCAGCAGCCGCGGUAAUACGUAGGGUGCGAGCGUUAAUCGGAAUUACUGGGCGUAAAGCGUGCGCAGGCGGUUAUGUAAGACAGAUGUGAAAUCCCCGGGCUCAACCUGGGAACUGCAUUUGUGACUGCAUAGCUAGAGUACGGCAGAGGGGGAUGGAAUUCCGCGUGUAGCAGUGAAAUGCGUAGAUAUGCGGAGGAACACCGAUGGCGAAGGCAAUCCCCUGGGCCUGUACUGACGCUCAUGCACGAAAGCGUGGGGAGCAAACAGGAUUAGAUACCCCGGUAGUCC